Molecule: ribosomal RNA, 253 nt
Filed under: uncultured bacterium
Lineage: Bacteria
Description: partial 16S ribosomal RNA
Rfam family: Bacterial small subunit ribosomal RNA
Source: RNAcentral
UACGGGGGGGGCAAGCGUUGUUCGGAAUUACUGGGCGUAAAGGGCUCGUAGGUGGCCAACUAAGUCGGACGUGAAAUCCCUCGGCUUAACCGGGGAACUGCGUCCGAUACUGGUUGGCUUGAGUUUGGGAGAGGGAUGCGGAAUUCCAGGUGUAGCGGUGAAAUGCGUAGAUAUCUGGAGGAACACCGGUGGCGAAGGCGGCAUCCUGGACCGAUACUGACGCUGAGGAGCGAAAGCCAGGGGAGCAAACGGG